Molecule: ribosomal RNA, 65 nt
Filed under: Puccinia punctiformis
Lineage: Eukaryota; Fungi; Basidiomycota; Pucciniomycetes; Pucciniales; Pucciniaceae
Description: partial 28S ribosomal RNA
Rfam family: Eukaryotic large subunit ribosomal RNA
Source: RNAcentral
AAAGACCUCAAAUCAGGUGGGACUACCUGCUGAACUUAAGCAUAUCAAUAAGCAGAGGAAAAGAA